GACGAACGCUGGCGGCGUGCCUAACACAUGCAAGUCGAGCGAAUGAAGUUCCUUCGGGAACGGAUUUAGCGGCGGACGGGUGAGUAACACGUGGGCAACCUACCUCAUAGAGGGGAAUAGCCUUCCGAAAGGGAGAUUAAUACCGCAUAAGAUUGUAGUACCGCAUGGUACAGCAAUUAAAGGAGCAAUCCGCUAUGAGAUGGGCCCGCGGCGCAUUAGCUAGUUGGUGAGGUAACGGCUCACCAAGGCGACGAUGCGUGGCCGACCUGAGAGGGUGAUCGGCCACAUUGGGACUGAGACACGGCCCAGACUCCGACGGGAGGCAGCAGUGGGGAAUAUUGCACAAUGGGGGAAACCUUGAUGCAGCAACGCCGCGUGAGUGAUGACGGCCUUCGGGUUGUAAAGCUCUGUCUUCAGGGACGAUAAUGACGGUACCUGAGGAGGAAGCCGCGGCUAACUACGUGCCAGCAGCCGCCGUAA
Molecule: ribosomal RNA, 480 nt
Filed under: uncultured bacterium
Lineage: Bacteria
Description: partial 16S ribosomal RNA
Rfam family: Bacterial small subunit ribosomal RNA
Source: RNAcentral